AACUUUACUCAUCCACCGAGAGAGAAAGAAAGAGAGAGCCUCCGGCGAGUAAAGAAUGCGGCUGCAGGAGCUAAAUGAACGGGGAUUCAUCAGAUCGGGGAGGAGAGGAGUGUCGCUGGUCGGGAAAGGAAGAGGAGAAGCGAGGAAGAAAGCCGUCCCUGCUUUCCGUCUUGGCCUCCGCCGGCGACUCUGCCCAAAAACGACAUUUCUCACUUCAGCAGGGGCUAACCUCUCGUCCCGUCUAGUAUCAGAGCCAAAGGGUAGUGGGAAGUGGUGUUCAGAAUGGUGUUCAGAGCCAAAACAACAAAGAAGAAAAUAAGAAAUUUUUUUUUAUUGUAACACCGGAAGCACUGUAGUAAUCCGGCAAGUUACUGUGCAAAUAUGACAACAAAAAACAAACGAUGUACUGUAGCGCGCACUGUAAUAGUACUGUAGCAAAUACUGUAGCAGGUACUAUGGCAACACGAAAAUUUUGCUAUAAAUAUUCCUCAAAUCCAACACAAUAGAUACACCAUUUUGGACACCAUUCUUACAUCAUUUUUCAAACUUUUCCUUCUCUGUAAACUUGAAGAAAUUCUCCUCUCACUCUCUACAAACUAGUUUUAUUUUAAUUUUUGGAAUCAAACAAGGGAGCGAGCCUUGCAAACUUCCCAAACAUUGUAAAUUUUUUUACAAACUCUUAUUCAAUCUUAUUCAAUCAAAUGGUCAACUGAGCCGCCUCAUAUUCAUAUUCAUUUACUUGUUUUAUUUAUUUUGAUUAUACUAACAUUCUGAAGGCUUGAUAACCUGUAGAAUUUGGGCACUAGAAUGAGUAUUGAUGUGUUUUUUGAUUUUUUCAGAAAAUAUUGAACAGCUCUUCAAACACUUAAAUACUUUCGUGCAUGUUACCCAGAAAAAUGGUAUGGUUGUAUCCCAAAAGAAAAUCAGCCUUUUUCAAAACCAAUAUUCUUAUCUUUUCUAUUUUUUGAAAACAAACAAGUAUGAUUUUCCAACAUGGUUUGUAGCAUGGUGGAAAGCACUUGGAUCUAAUAUGGAAAUUCUUCCUCCAGAUAUCCAACAAAGUUACAAAUUAUUCAUAGAUAGAUUUGAACUCCCAAACAACUAUAUACCAAUCAGUCUGUACUUCUUUUCCAUAUUCUCGGUAACAUGAGUCUACCAGUGAAAAUACGAAUACAUACAGCAAACACAACACCCUCCAUUAUUAGUCCGACAAGGAUAUUCAAAAUGGUGGCCAACAUUCAAUAAAAAUUUCAUUCAACCAGCAAACAUCUAGGCAUGGUUUCAGAAGAAUCCUCGCUCAAUAAAAUCUGGAGACAGUCAAACAAGCCAGUUUUUGCAGCAGAAAUUUAUCUCAGCAGUCAAGCUGGUAUCAAUCACUGAUAAACAAGAGUAUAUCAAACGAUUUAAGAUAUACUUCUACAACUGGAUCAAUCAAAAGAAACUUUAAACAAAGAGAAGGCCUCCAGUUCUGGAAAAAAACUUGAUGAAUAUGAAGGCCCAAAAAAUGAAGAUAAUUGUUAUGAAAUUUUCUCACAAAUUUCACAAGGUCACAAAACAAUAAAGAAGAAAAUAAGAAAAAUAUUUUUACUAUAGCACCGGAAGCACUGUAGUAGUCCGGCAAGUUACUGUGCAAGCACGGUAACAAAAGACAAACGAUGUACUGUAGCGCGCACUGUAGCAGUACUGUAGCAAAACACUGUAUUGGAUACUGUAGCAACACGAAAAUUUUGCUAUAAAUACCCAUCAAAUCCAACACAACAGACACCAUUCUUACAUCAUUCUUCAAUCUUUUCCUUCUCUCUGAACUUGAAGAAAUUCUUCUCUCUCUCUCUACAAACUAGUUUUAUUUUAGUUUUUGGAAUCAAACAAGGGAACGAGCCUUGCAAGCUUCCCAAACAUUGUAAGUUUUCUUACAAACUCUUAUUCAAUCUUAUUCAAUCAAAUGGUCGAUUGAGUCGCCUCAUAUUUAUAUUCAUUUACCUGUUUUAUUUACUUUGAUUAUACUAACAUUCUGAAGGCUUGAUAACAUGUAGAAUUUGGGCACUAGAAUAAGUAUUGAUGUAUUUUUCGAUUUUUUCAGUAAAUAUUGAACAGCACUUCAAACACCUAAAUACUUUAGUGCAUGUUGUCCAGAAAAAUGGUAUGGUUGUAUCCCCAAAGAAAAUCAGCCUUUUUCAAAUGAAUUAAACCAAUAUUCUUAUCUUUUCUAUUUUUUGAAAACAAACAAGUAUGAUUUUCCAACAUGGUUUGUAGUAUGGUGGAAAGCACUUAGAUCUAAUCUGGAAAUUUUUCCUCCAGAUAUCCAACAAAGUUACAAAUUAUUCAUAGAUAGAUUUGAACUCCCAAACAACUAUAUACCAAUCAGUCUGCACUUCUUUUCCAUAUUCUCGGUAACAUAAGUCUACCAGUAGAAAUACGAAUACAUACAGCAAACAUAACUCCCUCCAUUAUUAGUCCGACAAGGAUAUUCAAAAUGGUGGCCAACAUUCAAUAAAAAUUUCAUUCAACCAGCAAAUAUCCAGGCAUGGUUUCAGAAGAAUCCUCGCUCAAUAAAAUCUGGAGACAGUCAAACAAGUCAGUUUUUGCAGCAAAAAUUUAUCGCAGCAGUCAAGCUGGUAUCAAUCACUGAUAAACAAGAGUAUAUCAAAUGAUUUAAAGAUAUACUUCUACAACUGAAUCAAUCAAAAGAAACUUUAAACAAAGAGAAGGCCUCCAGUUCUGGAACAAAACUUGAUGAAUAUGAAGGUCUAGAAAAUGAAGAUAAUUGUUAUGAAAUUUUCUCACAAAUUUCACAAGAUCACAAAACAAUAAAGAAGAAAAUAAGAAAAA
Coffea arabica (coffee) is the source of this 2829-nucleotide non-coding RNA. NCBI's taxonomy places the organism in Eukaryota, Viridiplantae, Streptophyta, Magnoliopsida, Gentianales, Rubiaceae. The record is from RefSeq and is a predicted model, not a curated record.